This 211-nucleotide unclassified non-coding RNA is filed under the name uncultured Mycena. RNAcentral describes it as "sequence contains ITS2". Lineage: Eukaryota; Fungi; Basidiomycota; Agaricomycetes; Agaricales; Tricholomataceae. The record is from RNAcentral.
AAUUCUCAACCUUAGCUUGCUUUAUUGCGAGCCAAGGCUUGGAUGUGAGGGCUUGCUGGCUUCCUUCAGUGGAUGGUCUGCUCCCUUUAAAUGCAUUAGUGGGAUCCUUUGUGGACGUCACUUGGUGUGAUAAUUAUCUACGCCUCGGACUGAAGCAAGCUUUUGGGAACCCGCUUAUAACCGUCCAUUUGCUUGGACAAUUCUUGACAAU